Molecule: long non-coding RNA, 392 nt
Organism: Girardinichthys multiradiatus
Lineage: Eukaryota; Metazoa; Chordata; Actinopteri; Cyprinodontiformes; Goodeidae
Exons: 2
Source: RefSeq, a predicted model, not a curated record
CCUGGACCUGACUUUGUCUUCAAGGAUCUGUGCUAUUUUGGAUUUUGACAUUGGAGAAGGAUCUCCAAACUACGUGGAUUAAACCUGGUUUGCCUACCCUCUGCUUUCUGGAACUACUGGCUGACAGCUACUUUGACGGUGCUCUACCUGGAACUACUACGGACCACCUCAAGCGAACCCUGUCCACCCUUGCACACAAUAACAUCUCCAACAGAACCUCAGAGUUACCUUAAAGUGAGUCAAGUACUUGCCUGCUCCGUUCAUCUCAGUGUGCAGCUCCGUUGUUGUCUCACCCCUCCUGGCAGAUCAACGUCCACUUCCUAUUUGUCCUCCGGUUCCAGCUCAACCCCUUCCCCUCGCUCACUGUAAAAUAAAGUAUUUGUUGAACUUUA